Molecule: RNA transcript, 2144 nt
Organism: Physcomitrium patens
Lineage: Eukaryota; Viridiplantae; Streptophyta; Bryopsida; Funariales; Funariaceae
Gene name: tRNA threonylcarbamoyladenosine dehydratase
Source: RefSeq, a predicted model, not a curated record
AACGCAGCAUCCUGAGAAACAACAAAGCAAGAGGUUUUUGUGACGAUGGUCGAUGUUUGUGUAGGUGAACGGGGAUAGUCGACCAUCGCAUGUUGACGUGUUCUUUGAGGCAGGGGGGCAUGUAAUGGCCUUUUUUGUAAUCUUGCGGCGGCUCCACAGAUCCUAACAUUGUAGUGGCUCUGGAAGACGAGCGAAACAAUGGUUUCCUCUUCUACUACCUCAUUGCUGGUGCUGGGAGCGGGAGCAUUGGUAGGGUCUGCUCUCACUCUCGCCCUCAUCUCUUGGCGUACUUCCAAGACCAGCAACAGGAGACAAUUGGCAAUUCCGUCUUUAGUCAAGAAUCCUACGUAUGAGCCAUUCGUAGAUACCAGCAAAAACGCGAACGGUGUAAUUGAGACUACUUACGAUACACUGUCGUCAUUGCCAAAACUGAGUAAUAAUCUUCCAGUUGAAGAUUUCUUGCGUGAUGAGAUAGUCAAUGAGCAAUUCACCAGGAAUGUGCAGUUUUUUGGGGAUGCAGGUCAAUUGAAGGUGCACCGUGCUUUCGUAGUAGUGGUGGGGCUUGGUGGCGUAGGCAGUCAUGCAGCCGCUAUGUUACUACGCUCUGGAGUAGGCAAGUUACGAUUGAUUGAUUUUGAUCAGGUCUCACUCUCAUCAUUGAAUCGUCAUGCGGUCGCUACGCGGGCAGAUGUUGGCAUGUCAAAAGCUGUGUGCUUGCAAAAUCACUUCCAACGAAUUUUUCCGGAGUGUCAAGUUGAGGCACGGGUGCAAAUGUAUGACGCUUCCGCCCAAGACGAGCUUCUUUCUGGCUCCCCUGACUAUGUCCUUGAUUGCAUUGACAACAUUGACACAAAGGUCGCCCUUUUGGCAGCUUGUGUGAAGAAGGGUCUGAAAGUUUUGUCAGCAACAGGAGCUGGCGCUCGUUUGGAUCCUACUCGUAUUCGCAUUGCAGACUUAAAGGAGUCGUCAAAUGAUCCUCUAUCUCGAUCCGUAAGACAUCGCUUAAGAAGAGAGCAUGACAUUCAUGGAGGAAUUCCAGUUGUUUUCUCUUUGGAGAAACCCAAAAUGAAGUUGCUACCUUUCAAGAGUCCUAACGAAGACGACGCUCGGCCUGAGGAUUAUCAGGUUGUUCCGGGGUUCAGGGUGCGCAUCAUCCCAGUAAUGGGUACCAUCCCAGCAAUAUUCGGUCAAAUAAUGGCUACAUAUGUGGUCACUCAACUUGCAGGCAUGCCUGUACAGACUGAGCCUGUCGUAAACCUGGAUGUGGAGCACUAUGGAUUACUUCACCAGCGGCUGAUUGAGCGGGAAGAGCUUCAAUUUGGCUCUGCCGAUGCCGUUGAGGUGGAUAAAGAGGAAGUCGCAUAUGUAGUUCGAGAACUUUGGCGGGGCCGUAGUGCUAGAGAUCAAGAUUCUACCAAUGUGGGUAGAGGCAUGUGGCGCUCUAUAAACAACCUUACUCUUACCAGAUGGGAUCAAACACGGCCACCUAGUAUUGACAACCUGGUGUUAUUAACCUUUGACGAGGCGGAAGCUCAUGAAGCAACGACUUUAGAAGAUUUAGCCUUCGAUGAAUGGGAAUAUUAUUCUAUGGUUGAAUCUGUAUUAGCUCGUGCAGUAAGAGAUUUAAGUUAAUUAUGUUCUCAGUUGGUUGGCACUCAGAGUUGCACGACUGAAACUAGCAUGACUUUCUAGAUCGUAGUUAAGCGCUCCCCUUUGAACAACAGCUUGCAGUUUCCGCCCGUUCUCAACCACGGACUUUGGCACUCACUGGAACGAGCUACGUGAAAGUCCCGAUAAUCAUUGAGAGCUGAAGCAGCCAUUCUGAGAUUUAUCAAGUCUUACGUGACCUUGCAGUCCUCUGUACCUGCUGAGAAACUUUAAUUUAAGCUGCUCUUGGGACUAUACAAUGGAUGCGUAGGUCUUUGGUAUUUAAGGAACAUAGGAACCAUUUGUUUUGACAACCUUAAAGCACCUUGACGCGUUACAGGUCUCAUAAUCUUGUAAUGGACCAUAAGUAAGCAGGAGAAACCUACAGAUAAAGUCUAUCAGUCAUGUACAUAAAAGCUCAACACCAGCUGGUCUGAUGCAAUUUGGUGCCUUGUUUGUUAUUUUUGUUCCAAAUCACUCCUUUUUCUUUCUUUUCA